Non-coding RNA from Onthophagus taurus, 1318 nucleotides. The record is from RefSeq and is a predicted model, not a curated record. NCBI's taxonomy places the organism in Eukaryota, Metazoa, Arthropoda, Insecta, Coleoptera, Scarabaeidae.
GCAACCGUAGGUUUCAUCCAAACGCCAUUCUACUUUCCAUUCCAUUCAAAGACGUUCAAAGAAAAGAUUGGUCUUAAAGAAGUUUGUUUUGUGGUUUUUACAGUUUUUACAAAAACAACGUUGUAGAAAUGUCCAAAUAUUGCGUAUUGGUCAUGAAUUUUAUUAUCAUCGAAUAAACACAAAAGAAGGCAGAUAUUCAAUUCUUUAUUUCAAAGAUGAUUAAGAACAAAUUGUUGGAGCGGCAGUGAUAUCUUCAAUAAGAUGGCGAUCCACCUCACUAUGCCGUUCCAGUUCGAGCUUAUUGCAACCACUUAUUUUCCAAUUGAUGGAUUGGGAGAAGAGGGCUAAUGAGUGGCCAGCAAUAUAAUCAGAUUUCACUCCACUGGACUCUUUCUUUUACCGAUAUCUGAUGGGUAAAGUUUACACUACUGGACCAAAUACUUUGGAUGAACAAAAAAUCAGAAUCCAAGAAGAAGUUGUCAGGAAGAAUUUAAAAUCGUUUAGGUUGCUGAAAAGCACUCACAACAACAACGACAAGUGCUCAACAAGUUGCUCAAGGUGACACCCAACCCUCUAAAAGUAUAAAUAGUACCAAUUUGUCUCUGUUGUGCACUAAUUAAUCUUGCACUGAAAUUACAAACACCUUCAAGAAAGUUACUUUGAUUAACAAUUAAAUGACACCAACUAUGGUUUUGCUGUAGUCGAACUUUCGAAGACAAUUCCUCAGUUUAACAGCUUGUGUGCGAACCACAUGGAUUUAUGAUGGUCAAUCAUUGUGCAACUAAAGUGGGGCCAUUACGUUGAUAGUAAAUAUUUUGUUUGAUAUUCAAUGAAACUUCCUUCAGCAUCAAUUUCGAAAAAUGAAAAUUGUAGCUGAACGUGACUUUUCCACUGUCACAUAUGGGUUUUUAUCAGACCAACAUGCAAUAAUAUACACAUUUAUAUUAUUUCCACAAUAUGCUGCUGACAUGUCUCAAUGAUUUCAUGUUUGUGAAAUAUAGUUGGGAACCGGUCUUUUAUGGCUGUGCUAUGGAUCGAUACACAAGUGUUCUGCCAAGAAUGAUUUCCAGAGAACUUGAAUAAUUCUUUGUGGAAUGCAUGUGUAUGUGCAACCUGUACAUUUUGGGAUCUGCUUUUUUGGUAAUUUGUUUUAUUAAAGUUCCCAAAAUGUAACUCCUAAUACUGAAUGUUAUGUCCUUAUAAGUCUGCUUAUUUUUCUGUGUACUGGAUAUUAUGUAACUGUUCACAUAAUUCAUCAUGUAUCAUUUUUAAAAUUAUAACCCAGAACCCAAAUAUUAAUAAUAAAAGUUGCACUCAA